ACGUGUGGAGCAGAAGACAGAAGAUAAAAGAUAUGGGACAGAGAGGAGACACUCAACUGCUUCAGGUUCUUAACCAAACAAAGGAGGUUGAGAAUCUUUUGCAUUUCAAGAGGUGGACAGCUCCUGCAUUGUAGUAGAAGACAUGUAGGAUUGGGAUGGAUGCAAGUGCAGAUGCAGUCCCAUGGAGCAGCUUUGUUUCCCCAUAUGCUUUAGAUCUCUGAAGAGAGAAGGCCCUAGAAUUUUAAGCCAAACAUGGACACCCACAGAAACCAACAUGGUGCAUAACCUGCAAAUGUGGCCGAAGAGUGAAAGAAAAAUGUAUCUAAGGACAACAUGUUUAACAAGAAUGUGGAUUACUGGUAAUUGUAUGAACAGGGCCAGGGUGACCUUGGAAGCCCUUGUUAAGGAUGUGCAAUGUCCCAAGAUCAAAGCCUGAAGCCCUAGAGCAGUGCUAUGAGUAGUGCUGAUUAGGAGACCUCUCCAACCUGCAACAUCAAUGGUAAAUGUGUC
This is a long non-coding RNA of Choloepus didactylus (southern two-toed sloth), 510 nucleotides long. RefSeq lists it as uncharacterized. NCBI's taxonomy places the organism in Eukaryota, Metazoa, Chordata, Mammalia, Pilosa, Megalonychidae. The record is from RefSeq and is a predicted model, not a curated record. The transcript has 3 exons.